This 492-nucleotide ribosomal RNA is filed under the name uncultured bacterium. RNAcentral describes it as "partial 16S ribosomal RNA". It matches the Rfam family "Bacterial small subunit ribosomal RNA", at positions 29 to 507 of the family's 1533-position model. The record is from RNAcentral.
AGUGAACGCUGGCGGUAUACCUAACACAUGCAAGUCGAACGGCAGCACAGUAAGAUCUUGCUCUUACGGGUGGCGAGUGGCGGACGGGUGAGGAAUACAUCAGCAUCUACUUUUUCGUGGGUGAUAACGUAGGGAAACUUAUGCUAAUACCGCAUACUACCUACGGGUGAAAGCAGGGGAUCUUCGGACCUUGCGCGAUUGAAUUAGCCGAUGUCGGAUUAGCUAGUUGGCUGGGUAAAGGCCCACCAAGGCCACGAUCCGUAGCUGGUCUGAGAGGAUGAUCAGCCACACUGGAACUGAGACACGGUCCAGACUCCUACGGGAGGCAGCAGUGGGGAAUAUUGGACAAUGGGCGAAAGCCUGAUCCAGCCAUACCGCGUGGGUGAAGAAGGCCUUCGGGUUGUAAAGCCCUUUUGUUGGGAAAGAAAAGCAGCAGGUUAAUACGCCGCUGUUCUGACGGUACCCAAAGAAUAAGCACCGGCUAACUUCGUG